AGGACGAACGCUGGCGGCGUGCUUAACACAUGCAAGUCGAGCGGAAAGGCCAUUUCGGUGGUACUCGAGCGGCGAACGGGUGAGUAACACGUGAGUAAUCUGCCCUUGGCUUUGGGAUAGCCACCGGAAACGGUGAUUAAUACCGGAUAUGACCACGUACUGCAUGGUGUGUGGUGGAAAGUUUUUUCGGCCAGGGAUGUGCUCGCGGCCUAUCAGCUUGAUGGUGGGGUAAUGGCUCACCAUGGCUUCGACGGGUA
This 257-nucleotide ribosomal RNA is filed under the name uncultured soil bacterium. RNAcentral describes it as "partial 16S ribosomal RNA". It matches the Rfam family "Bacterial small subunit ribosomal RNA", at positions 26 to 285 of the family's 1533-position model. The record is from RNAcentral.